This 544-nucleotide long non-coding RNA is filed under the name Bos taurus (domestic cattle). RNAcentral describes it as "long non-coding RNA NONBTAT019598". Lineage: Eukaryota; Metazoa; Chordata; Mammalia; Artiodactyla; Bovidae. The record is from RNAcentral.
GUGAACUUAAGUGCAGCCACAUACUGUUUUUUAAACCAUAUGUUUUACCACUAAUUUCCCAAAGUUACAAUAAAAUCCUAAAAGUAAAAAUCUAAUAGAAAUUUACUGUAAGGCAGACUGUUAAAUGGUAGAAAAUUAUUUCACAUUUUAGGCACUGAAAUUUUGAGGUAUAUUAGGUAUAUAAUGCACUUCACUUGGAUGCCUUUUCAUUUAUAGGCAGCUUCAGGAGCACCAAAAUACAUUGAAAUUCCAGUACUAAGAAUAUUUAUGUCUGUAAUGUUAAGAGGCAUUGCUUGUAUUUUUGGAAAGAUAGGGCCAAAGUAAUCAACUCUGUAGGCUCCAAGCUGUUGGGGAUGCUGUUACUCAUUAAUGCUUUUUACCGAAUGGUUGGAGUCAUAUGAUGCAUCACACUUUAAUUAACCUUAAGUAACAUUUUAUAGAACUGUAUAAGUGGUAUUCUUUAGAUGAAGUGUGUUCCUCUCUGCUCAUUGUCUGAAACUAAAUAUUUAGGGCUGAAUAGGCUUUAUGUAAUUCCUCAUUUCAU